This 200-nucleotide ribosomal RNA is filed under the name uncultured bacterium. RNAcentral's name for it is "partial 16S ribosomal RNA". It matches the Rfam family "Bacterial small subunit ribosomal RNA", at positions 524 to 723 of the family's 1533-position model. The record is from RNAcentral.
UACGGAGGGUGCGAGCGUUGUCCGGAUUUAUUGGGUUUAAAGGGUACGUAGGCGGCUUUUUAAGUCAGUGGUGAAAUGCUAUAGCUUAACUAUAGAGCUGCCAUUGAAACUGAAAAGCUUGAGUAUGAAUGAGGUAAGCGGAAUUUUUGGUGUAGCGGUGAAAUGCAUAGAUACCAAAAGGAACACCGAUAGCGAAGGCA